GCCGGAGUGGCGAAAUUGGUAGACGCACUGGAUUCAAAAUCCAGCGGAGCAUUCUGUUCCAUGUGGGUUCGAAUCCCUCCUCCGGCA
Molecule: transfer RNA, 87 nt
Filed under: Candidatus Aminicenantota bacterium
Lineage: Bacteria; Candidatus Aminicenantota
Description: Candidatus Aminicenantes bacterium tRNA-Leu
Rfam family: tRNA
About the family: Transfer RNA (tRNA) molecules are approximately 80 nucleotides in length. Their secondary structure includes four short double-helical elements and three loops (D, anti-codon, and T loops).
Source: RNAcentral